Molecule: long non-coding RNA, 331 nt
Filed under: Salmo trutta (river trout)
Lineage: Eukaryota; Metazoa; Chordata; Actinopteri; Salmoniformes; Salmonidae
Description: lncRNA (ENSSTUG00000016902.1)
Source: RNAcentral
UGUUUACCAUUUGAGAAUAUUACUAGUUUCUAACAAUCUUUAAACUAUUUUUAAAAAAAAAUCAAUAACACAAAUUCUGUUUUCACUGAAAAGUUUGAGGAGGUGGAUGCUGAACAGCUUCAGAGAAGUCUGGAUGAAAAUCUCCUCCAAGGAUAUGCAAAGAAAACACAAGGCUUCAGCUUGGAGUCCUGUCGAAGCAUGGUGGCCCUAAUGGAUACAUCAAUCACUGGAAGACUGAACAGUGAUGAAUUUCUACGUCUAUGGAGAAAAGUUACCAUGUACAAGGUAAAUUAAUUAGCAUGUCUGUUGAAAAAAAGGGAAAACAACUAUA